This is a long non-coding RNA of Myotis lucifugus (little brown bat), 1830 nucleotides long. RefSeq lists it as uncharacterized. The transcript is spliced from 4 exons. The record is from RefSeq and is a predicted model, not a curated record. NCBI's taxonomy places the organism in Eukaryota, Metazoa, Chordata, Mammalia, Chiroptera, Vespertilionidae.
AGGUUCUGAAAUUCGGGGUUACGGUCUUGGAAUCUGCAGGUGCUCUGAUACCCUUGCUCCGGCACCCGGCUUAUGCCCACACCGGCCGGCUGGAACCUUUCGAGGAACAGAAGGGAUUCCUGGGCUCUAGCCCUACCUAGGUCUGGAGGCAGCGAUGACUCACCAGCACCCCCUCUGCCUUCGCCAAACUGCCGUCUCCGCCCACCCCAGUCUCCACGUCCGGCCGCGGCUCUCUGCUGGGGGCUCAAGGGGCUCAUCCUGAUGCCCGCAUCCCAGAGGCUUAACCUGCCCGCUCCCAGUCAUCAGGUUUGCCUGGCUCGCCUCCCGACCCGUCCCUCCGCUGAGCGGCGGAGAUGGAUGCGACAUCCCCACGGGGAUCUCUGGACUCUCCGAACAGCAGCAGCAGCGCGUGGAGGGGUCAGCCGAGCACCCCGGUGUGACAGUUUCUCUGGAGAGCUGGGAAAAGAAAUCCAACAACAGUGAGUUAGUGGUGUCAGAAGUUCCUCUUCCUAAUAUCACAAGAGCCUGGAGGGAGGCAUUCCCAGACUGCAUGGCAGGGAUUUCUACAUCCAGCAUUCUUCUCAAACAAGCCGCUGAUCUGCUUCUUGCCCUUUGAAAGCUGAUGGCUCCGCUUCCAAGUCCCGUGGCUGGCAGGCAGAUUAUGAAACGGGAUGCACCGUCAGAGACGCAGUUUACACAGCUCCCCCCUCAUGCCCUCACUCUGGGCAAACCAACCUCAUCCAUCCAUACUGCCCCGGAGGACUGGACUACAGGAGGGGAGCCUCCUGUCAGCUGGACUCCGAGCUGCGGAAACCCUGGGCAGACACUGAGCCUGCUGUCCUCUCAGCGCAAUUUAGAGAUUGUCUUGGGCCUGGCACCAGGAGCCCCGUGGAUUAAGACUGCUUUUCCGGACUCCCCAUCAAUUUCCGACUGUUUCCCUCUCCUCAGCAUUGCUUUUCCGAUAAAGUAGCCCAAGUGUGAUGGCCAGGGGUGGCUUCUUAGGACAGGGUCCCAGCGACACCAGAGCAGCUCACACAGCUUCCACUGGAAGCCACAGGAGUCCUCUUCCCAGCUCCGGCCAGGACCAACCGUGAAGUGUGUGGGUGGCAGAAAGCGUUCAUUCAAUGGUAACUGUGUGGGGAAGCACCGAGGAAUUUUAAAAGGUAAAUCAUGCUAAAAUGGCGAAUGGGGGAAAUCAAACAGUGAACAGCCUAUGGUAGGCUUCACAAUGGAAAGAGAAUUCUUGUACCCACGACUUCUCGAGCUGUUACACAGCCAAUUCCCUGUAAGUCACGCUGGUAGGGAAACACCAGCUCACUCACUUUCUUCUUUUUCCCCCUCUUUUCCUUUGCUCCUCCCCUUUCUUCAUUUCUUUUUCCCAGUAGCAUUUUUAGGAGCCAGGGAAUAUAUCCUGGUACAGUCAGCCAAGAGGUGGGGAGGGAGGGGCACCUAACACUUCCUGAGCCUUGCCCACAUGCCAGGGGCAUUAUGUAACAAAAUCUCCUUUAAUCCCCACAAGACGGGUAAUACUAUCUAUUUUUUUCCAGAUUAGGGAAGUCAGGCUUAGGUAAUAGAGUGCAAGUUUCCAAGGAGGCAGAGCUCGCAGGCGUGAGAGCCGGGAUUCCAGCUCUGAGCUCUGUGACUCUGAAGCGCAGUGUCUUCACAUCACACUGAGCUGGGGACUGCCCUCUCAAGGAACCAAUGGAGUCUGUUGGUUGUGUCCACAGAUGGGGAAAAUGGCCCGGUGGGCCCCUGGUUAGACUAGACCAGUGGUCGGCAAACUGCGGCUCUCGAGCCACAUGAGGCUCUUUGGCCCCUUGAGUGUGGCUC